UACGUAGGGUGCGAGCGUUGUCCGGAAUUAUUGGGCGUAAAGAGCUCGUAGGCGGUGUGUCACGUCGGCCGUGAAAACCUGCAGCUUAACUGUGGGCGUGCGGUCGAUACGGGCAUCACUGGAGUUCGGCAGGGGAGACUGGAAUUCCUGGUGUAGCGGUGAAAUGCGCAGAUAUCAGGAGGAACACCGGUGGCGAAGGCGGGUCUCUGGGCCGAUACUGACGCUGAGGAGCGAAAGCAUGGGGAGCGAACGGG
This 254-nucleotide ribosomal RNA is filed under the name uncultured bacterium. Its description in RNAcentral is "partial 16S ribosomal RNA". It matches the Rfam family "Bacterial small subunit ribosomal RNA", at positions 524 to 776 of the family's 1533-position model. The record is from RNAcentral.